CUUGUCCAUGGGAUGACUAUGAGGGAGGCUGGGCAACGAGUACAACCAAAUUUGAGUCGCUUCACUGUUGCCUCCAUCAUCAGAACCUUCAGGGAGGAAAACAGGACACAGAGACGACCACCUGGUGGAGGCAGGUUAAGGCUUUUGUCGGAGGAGCAAGAGAGGGAACUUGUAAACAUGGUAAUUGCAAAUAAUGUAAUCCGCCUGCAAGAGAUUCAAAGGAGAGUGAUUGAGGAUGAUCAUCUUUUUCGAGGCAUACAUGCCAUCAGCCUCUCCACAAUUGACCACAUCCUCCGAAAGAAUCAAUUCCGGAUGAAACAGGCAUACCGAGUCCCUUUCGAACGAAACUCUGACAGAGUGAAAAACCAACGUGUGGAAUAUGUUCAGAGAAUCUUUGAGAUUGAAGGACGGCCUGUUCCCCAUGAAAUAAUCUUUGUGGAUGAGGCAGGUUUUAACCUGACCAAAAGAAGGAAAAGGGGGAG
Molecule: long non-coding RNA, 482 nt
Organism: Astatotilapia calliptera (eastern happy)
Lineage: Eukaryota; Metazoa; Chordata; Actinopteri; Cichliformes; Cichlidae
Source: Ensembl